UACGUAGGGUGCGAGCGUUAAUCGGAAUUACUGGGCGUAAAGCGUGCGCAGGCGGUUCGUUGUGUCGGUGGUGAAAGCCCCGGGCUUAACCUGGGAAUGGCCAUGGAAACUGGCGAACUGGAGUGUGGCAGAGGGGGGUGGAAUUCCGCGUGUAGCAGUGAAAUGCGUAGAGAUCCGGAGGAACCCCAGAGGCGAAGGCGGCGCUCUGGCUCGCAACUGACGCUCAGACACGACAGCAUGGGGAGCGAACGGG
Molecule: ribosomal RNA, 253 nt
Filed under: uncultured bacterium
Lineage: Bacteria
Description: partial 16S ribosomal RNA
Rfam family: Bacterial small subunit ribosomal RNA
Source: RNAcentral